Molecule: unclassified non-coding RNA, 938 nt
Filed under: Hevea brasiliensis (rubber tree)
Lineage: Eukaryota; Viridiplantae; Streptophyta; Magnoliopsida; Malpighiales; Euphorbiaceae
Source: RNAcentral
AUAUAAAUACAAACAACUAAAUAAGCUCAUUAUUCAUUACACUUCAACAAGUUUCUCAUUUCUCUUUUCUCUUUCUUCUAUUUGUCUUUCAUUCCUUUGAAUAUUCUCUUCUAUUUAGAGACGGAAUAAUAACAAUCUUACAAAAAGUAAGAAAACAGUUCUUUAUCUGAUACUUUGUAAGAUACACCAGCAAAAGCAGAUCUCUAAUUAUCAGCAUAUUUAAAGAUGAAGAAAGUAAUUCUGAAAUUGGAGUAUUUCGACGAGAAAAUCAAGCAGAAAGCCAUGAAGAAAGUGUCUGGUCUUGAAGGAGUGGAAUCAAUUUCAAUAGAUUCAAAAGAGAAGAAAUUAACAAUUACAGGGAACAUAGAUCCAGUUUCACUGGUUUCAAAAUUGAGGAAGCUCUGUCACACUGAUAUCGUCUCAGUUGGACCAGCAAAAGAGCCUGAGAAAAAGAAGGACGACGGUGCCAAAAAAGAUGAAGGGGCUAAAAAGGAUGACGGCAAAAAAGAUGAUGGGGCUAAAAAAGGGGAUGAUAAAAAAGGAGGAGCCGAUAAGACGAAAGAAGAAGCUCUUCCAGUAAUGAAAGCUUUUCCAGCUCCUAUAUUUUAUCACUAUAAUCAGCAUCCUUAUCAACAUUAUCAAACCCCUGUUCCUGCUUAUUAUCACCAACGAAGCGUUGAAGAAGAUCCAAAUUCUUGUGUCAUCUGUUGAACUGAUAUUCAUGAUGAAUUUGAUUCAUAUCAUGUUAUCACUGUUACUCUCUAAUAUAUAUUCCCUGCGAGUUUUGUGACUUUUUAAGAAGAAAAAAAAUAGCUUUGUACAAAUUUAUGUUUUCUUUUCCCCAUGAUCACAUUUUUGUUCCAUGUUUAUUACAACAUCUCUUUAUUGAUCUAUAUAUUUGAACAGUGAACGGUGAUUUAAAGGUCAUCUAUUUCGAG